GAGGAAUAUUGGGCAAUGGGCGCAAGCCUGACCCAGCAACGCCGCGUGAAGGAAGAAGGUCUUCGGAUUGUAAACUUCUUUUGUCGGGGACGAUAAUGACGGUACCCGACGAAUAAGCCACGGCUAACUACGUGCCAGCAGCCGCGGUAAUACGUAGGUGGCAAGCGUUGUCCGGAUUUACUGGGUGUAAAGGGCGAGUAGGCGGACUGACAAGUCAGGUGUGAAAGCCCGGGGCUUAACCCCGGGUCUGCAUUUGAAACUGUUGGUCUUGAGUAUCGGAGAGGCAGGCGGAAUUCCCGGUGUAGCGGUGGAAUGCGUAGAUAUCGGGAGGAACACCAGUGGCGAAGGCGGCCUGCUGGACGACAACUGACGCUGAGGAGCGAAAGCGUGGGGAGCAAAC
RNAcentral lists this ribosomal RNA (400 nucleotides) under uncultured bacterium. RNAcentral's name for it is "bacterial SSU rRNA". It matches the Rfam family "Bacterial small subunit ribosomal RNA", at positions 356 to 773 of the family's 1533-position model. The record is from RNAcentral.